Molecule: small RNA, 286 nt
Filed under: Echinops telfairi (small Madagascar hedgehog)
Lineage: Eukaryota; Metazoa; Chordata; Mammalia; Afrosoricida; Tenrecidae
Description: 7SK RNA (ENSETEG00000024635.1)
Rfam family: 7SK RNA (bases 1-220)
About the family: 7SK was discovered as an abundant small nuclear RNA in the mid-70s but a possible function has only recently been suggested. Two independent studies have found that 7SK RNA binds the CDK9/cyclin T complex (known as elongation factor P-TEFb).
Source: RNAcentral
GGAUGUGAGGGCAAUCUGGCUGCGACAUCUGUCACCCCAUUGAUCGCCUGAUUCGGCUGAUCUGGCUGACUGGGUGGGUGACCUCUUCCUCCCUCACCGUUCCUUGUGCGUCCCUCCCAAAGCUGACCUUCCCCUGCUAGAAACUCCAAACAAGUCUCAAGAAUUAAUUUGAUGGUUUGAAGACUAAUGACCAUAGACCAAAGUUGUUGUGGGGGAUAUUAAAGACAUAAAGACCAGGAUAGGUAUUAGAAGAGACGAUGAAAUCCGCUGAUGUAUGUACAAUAGU